Molecule: non-coding RNA, 2086 nt
Organism: Microcebus murinus (gray mouse lemur)
Lineage: Eukaryota; Metazoa; Chordata; Mammalia; Primates; Cheirogaleidae
Source: RefSeq, a predicted model, not a curated record
AUAAAGCCAAGUGCUCUGUCAGAACUAGACCGCCUGUCACCUGUGUUCUAAGAGCUGAACCAGAAAUGUCCUCAGGCAUGCCAGACAUACCUGCCCCACUCACCAAUUUGAAGAUUCAAUAUACUAAGAUCUUCAUAAACAAUGAAUGGCAUGCUUCAGUGAGUGGCAAGAAAUUUGCUGUCAUUAAUCCUGCAACUGAGGAGGUCAUCUGCCAUGUAGAAGAAGGAGAUAAGGAGGAUGUUGACAAAGCCGUGAAGGCCGCAAGACAGGCUUUUCAGAUCGGCUCUCCAUGGCGUACUAUGGAUGCUUCAGAGAGGGGACGACUGUUGUACAAGCUGGCCGAUUUAAUCGAGAGAGAUCGUCUCUUGCUGGCAACAAUGGAGGCAAUGGAUAGUGGGAAAAUAUUUUCCAACGCAUACCUGAUGGAUUUAGGAGGCUGCAUAAAAGCAUUACACUACUGUGCAGGCUGGGCCGACAAGAUCCAGGGCCGUACAAUACCAGCCGAUGGAAACAUUUUUACUUAUACAAGGCAUGAACCUAUUGGUGUAUGUGGCCAAAUCAUUCCUUGGAAUUUUCCCGUUGUUCAUGUUUAUUUGGAAGAUAGCACCUGCCCUGAGCUGUGGAAACACAGUAGUUGCAAACCAGCAGAGCAACUCCUCUCACUGCACUCCAUGUGGCAUCCUUAAUAAAGAGGUAAGCAGGGUUUCCUCCUGGAGUGGUGAAUAUUGUCCCUGGUUACGGGCCUACUGCAGGAGCAGCCAUCUCUUCUCACAUGGAUGUAGACAAAGUGGCCUUCACAGGAUCAACAGAGGUUGGCAAAUUGAUCAAAGAAGCUGCUGGGAAAAGCAAUCUGAAGAGGGUGACCCUGGAGCUUGGGGGGAAGAGCCCUUGCAUCGUGUUUGCUGAUGCGGACUUGGACAGUGCCGUUGAAUAUGCACACCGAGGGGUAUUCUACCACCAGGGCCAGUGUUGUGUAGCCGCAUCCAGGCUUUUCGUGGAAGAAUCAAUUUACGAUGAGUUUGUUCGGAGGAGUGUAGAGCGGGCUAAGAAGUAUGCUUUUGGAAAUCCUCUAACUCCAGGAGUAAAUCAAGGCCCUCAGGUUAACAAGCAACAACGUGACAAAAUACUUGAUUCUCAUGAGAGUGGGAAGAAAGAAGGGGCCAAAUGGAAUGUGCGGAGGCCCAUGGGAACAAAGGCUACUUUAUCCAGCCCCCGUUUUCUCUAAUGUUACAGACGACAUGCGCAUCGCCAAAGAGGAGAUAUUUGGACCAGUGCAGCAAAUCAUGAAAUUUAAAACUUUAGAUGACGUGAUCAAGAGAGCAAACAAUACUCACUAUGGGUUAGCAGCAGGAAUCUUUACCAAAGACCUGGAUAAAGCCAUCACAGUGUCCUCUGCUCUGCAGGCCGGGACAGUGUGGGUGAACUGCUAUCUCAUGUCGUCUGCCCAGUGCCCCUUUGGUGGCUUCAAGAUGUCUGGAAAUGGACGAGAACUGGGAGAAUAUGGUCUCCAUGAAUAUACAGAAGUCAAGACAGUCACAAUAAAAAUCUCUCAGAAGAACUCAUAAAAAAACUACAACAGUGGAGAAAAAUUCUUCAAAAUCAUCUCCUAUAGUCACUAACAGAGUGGGUUUUCAAUGCCAAAUUAUUCUUUUCAUGAUUUUCUUAAAACAUAAGCUAAUAAUCAGUGUUAGUUCUAUCCACAGAAAACUUGACAUGUAGCUUAUUCUGAGUCAUUCGCCUUCUGAUAUGUGACCUCAAUUCCAUCCUAAAUAAAAAGGAUGUAUUUGGACACCAAAUCUUUGAAGCUCUGUCAUAGUCAUGUGCUUUCAUUUGUAGCUACUUGUCCAGCAUAAUCAUUUCAUAGAAGAGAACCAGUUGUCAUUUAGCUUCUUUCCCUUAAGGACUCCUUGAAGUACUUAACAUACAUGUUAACUGCAGAGUGAGUUGCUCUGUUUCCAGUAGUUAUGAAGUCCUUGGAGUGUCUUGAAAUGUUUCCUGGAUCCAUGUCUGCUUGUCAAAUGAAGUGAUGCCUGAAAUACUUAGCUGUAAGCUGAAUAUGAAGCUUAAUAAAAACAAUUUUGCAUGA